UACAGAGGGUGCGAGCGUUAAUCGGAGUAACUGGGCGUAAAGGGCACGUAGGCGGUUAUAUUAGUCUGAUGUGAAAGACCUGGGCUUAACCUGGGAUGUGCAUUGGAAACGGUAUGGCUAGAGUAUGGGAGAGGGAAGUGGAAUUUCCGGUGUAGCGGUGAAAUGCGUAGAGAUCGGAAAGAACACUCGUGGCGAAGGCGGCUUUCUGGCCCAAAACUGACGCUGAGGUGCGAAAGCGUGGGGAGCAAGCAGG
Molecule: ribosomal RNA, 253 nt
Filed under: uncultured bacterium
Lineage: Bacteria
Description: partial 16S ribosomal RNA
Rfam family: Bacterial small subunit ribosomal RNA
Source: RNAcentral